AUUGAACGCUGGCGGCAUGCCUUACACAUGCAAGUCGAACGGCAGCACGGGUGCUUGCACCUGGUGGCGAGUGGCGAACGGGUGAGUAAUACAUCGGAACAUGUCCUGUAGUGGGGGAUAGCCCGGCGAAAGCCGGAUUAAUACCGCAUACGAUCUACGGAUGAAAGCGGGGACCUUCGGGGCUCCGGCUUUUGGGGUGGCCGAUGGCUGAUUAGCUAGUUGGUGGGGUAAAGGCCUACCAAGGCGACGAUCAGUAGCUGGUCUGAGAGGACGACCAGCCACACUGGGACUGAGACACGGCCCAGACUCCUACGGGAGGCAGCAGUGGGGAAUUUUGGACAAUGGGCGAAAGCCUGAUCCAGCAAUGCCGCGUGUGUGAAGAAGGCCUUCGGGUUGUAAAGCACUUUUGUCCGGAAAGAAAUCCUUGGCCCUAAUACGGUCGGGGGAUGACGGUACCGGAAGAAUAAGCACCGGCUAACUACGUG
RNAcentral lists this ribosomal RNA (485 nucleotides) under uncultured bacterium. Its description in RNAcentral is "partial 16S ribosomal RNA". It matches the Rfam family "Bacterial small subunit ribosomal RNA", at positions 30 to 507 of the family's 1533-position model. The record is from RNAcentral.